ACGAACGCUGGCGGCGUGCCUAAUACAUGCAAGUUGAGCGCUGAAGGUUGGUACUUGUACCAACUGGAUGAGCAGCGAACGGGUGAGUAACGCGUGGGGAAUCUGCCUUUGAGCGGGGGACAACAUUUGGAAACGAAUGCUAAUACCGCAUAAAAACUUUAAACACAAGUUUUAAGUUUGAAAGAUGCAAUUGCAUCACUCAAAGAUGAUCCCGCGUUGUAUUAGCUAGUUGGUGAGGUAAAGGCUCCCCAAGGCGAUGAUACAUAGCCGACCUGAGAGGGUGGUCGGCCACAUUGGGACUGAGACCCGGCCCAAACUCCUACGGGAGGCAGCAGUAGGGAAUCUUCGGCAAUGGACGAAAGUCUGACCGAGCAACGCCGCGUGAGUGAAGAAGGUUUUCGGAUCGUAAAACUCUGUUGGUAGAGAAGAACGUUGGUGAGAGUGGAAAGCUCAUCAAGUGACGGUAACUACCCAGAAAGGGACGGCUAACUACGUG
Molecule: ribosomal RNA, 496 nt
Filed under: uncultured bacterium
Lineage: Bacteria
Description: partial 16S ribosomal RNA
Rfam family: Bacterial small subunit ribosomal RNA
Source: RNAcentral